UGGAAAAGAACUUUGCAAGCAUCAUGAGGAGCAAGAAGAAACCAAAAGCGAGAGAGGCAACAGAAACACAGCAAGAAACAGUGGGAUGGGGCUCAAGGAGAUCAGGAAGCAUAGCAUCCAUUUUGAUGAGAAAAACCUCCUUCAUAAAAGGAAAAACUAAACUGCUAAGAAGCAAGAACGCCAUCUCAUGGGGAAGGACCGCCGUCUCAAGAAGCAAGACCAAACUGAGGAGGGGAGAAACUGCGUUUGCGGUGGGUACAACCACAGUUACACAUGGAGAGACCACUAGCUCCUUAAGUAAGGCCACCUUAAGUCAAGGGAAGAAGUCAAUAACUGUAAUAAAAACGCUCCUCAAAAGAGGCAAAGAAACUCAAUGGAACCUCUACUGGGAUUUUCAUCUCUGACUGAAACACACAAAACAUGAGCACAUACACACACAACAGACUUUGGGAUAAAGAAUGCUCGAGCAGAUGAUGUCUCCACUCUUGAAGCUCAGCAGCAGACUUAGGAUCAGUAUUUAAAACUUUUCUCCAAUUCUCCAACAUUACAAAUCAAGACUGUUCCAGGACCAAGACCCACAUGCCAAACACUUCAGAGUAAAUGUACUCAAAGCGGGUGGAGAAUUCUGCUAAUACACCUCAGGGGCCUGCACUUUAUUAUUUGACUGGCAUGAGACCCUGCAGCAUUGAGUUUUCAGUUUGCAAUUAAUGUAUGAGGAUGUUAAAUGGCUAUUGCAUGUGUUGAGUAAAUGGCAGAUGUAUGUGAUUCUGAGGGUCAAUGAUGGCUGAGUUGCUGAGGAUGUGUUUGUUGAUGAAAGUCUUCAAACCAGAUCAUGGUAUGUAAUUUCUGAAGCACACCUUAAACCUUUAGUACUCAUAGAGCUGUGCCAAAGGUAGAGUUGGUGCUGGACGAGUAGGGAGGGUUAUAAGUUAUAAGAGGCGAUUCAGAAAGCAAGCAGUAAUGGAAUAGUUAGAGAUUCUUCAUCAAGAAAGAGACAGUUAUGCAGAAGGUUUUGUGCACAUUAAAUGACUCUACAUGAAAACUAUCAGUCUAACUGCAUUGAAACAGGCCCAAAUUUCGAAAUUCAAAGUAAGGCUGGAAUUCAGACCACAAUAAAGCCUCCCUGGUGAAUGUAAUGGAUAAAAAACAGUUUCUUUUUGAGAACAUCUAAAGAUAAAGUUGAAAACAACAAGAACAGUCAAGAAAACUACUUGAAGAAAGGAGCUCACUACAUGAGGCAUGUUUUCUCCUCAGCAGUCUGUGCUGUUACAGAGGCAGUUGACUCCUUGUUCGUUCAGCCACUCCAUCCGUUCUAGAAGAUAUUCCAAACCUUCCCAUCUCCCCCCACUAAUUCUCAAAUUUUCACUCAGGUAUUUUCCUCCUCUUAACCUUCAUCACGUUCCAUCAUUAUAUUCAGCUAAAUGGAGGAAGGUAUAGAGAACUGAAAACUGAUCAUAAAUAGAAUAUUAAUGCUCACAUUUUAUUUUCCUUAGGUUGAACAUGCUGCUGGCAUCAACUUCUCUCGUCAUCAGCCAAAAUUAGCUUACAGUACAAUACAAAAUUUUAGCUUUUCAACAGCCUGUACUUCUGCCUAAAGUCUGCACACCAACAAAACAACAGACCACUACAGAUUCAUUGGUGCAUCCAAAAAUCAUCAAAUUGAAUCCAGUGGAAGAUGCUCAUCUUAUAAUCAUAAUGAUUUUUAAGGUCAUAACAAGUUGUGGACUUUGUAAGUGAGGCUGUGUCAUUCGUAUUUGCCUUCAGCUCUUGAACACAGAGACUUGCCCAGAGACUUUCUUCAGAACUGCUGGAACUCUGACCUGUCAACAUUGACCUGGAAUGGAAGUCAUCAUAGUCCUUCCUCCUUUAAUUAUUGCUGUCCAAAUAAAGACAAGUGCAUCUCCAAAAUGGUAACUUUACAAUUAUUCUAUCAAUUUUCAAACAUUUCAAUUGGUCCAUUUAUCAUAAACACAGGAUAAAAGGCAGCUGCUGAGCUCAAAUGAUGUAGAAAAAUAUGGAGAAACUUUUUUUUUGUGACAGUGAUGAUACACAAAGCCCCUUAUGAUCUCCCUGUGAUGAUAAUGUACUGUUACACUUGGGUUACUGUACUUAUGUUGUGUCUCACAUCAGUGCACGUCACAAACACAAAACCACAUUCAUAAAGUCUCAUGCCGAUCAGCUCCAUAUAAGAUUGGGAUAUGAAAGCCAAAACCUGAUCCCAGACAGUACACUUGCUUUGAAUUUGUUACACAAAGCUUCAGACAUACGAAGAUCUUCAAAAUGUUCUGAUGAGCACUGAUGUGGAUGAAGUUCCCUGAAAAAAAAUGUAAACUUGCAUAAAAAGUCCCUCCAACACUUGGGGCCAGUUUUCUGGACAGGGAUUACACCUAAUUAUGGACUACAUUUACCUUUCCAUGGAAAAUCGCAUUCAAAAUCCUGGAUUUAAGCCAGAACUAGGCUUAAUCCCUGUCUGGGAAACUGGCCCUUGUUUUAUUUAGAGGUAAAUGUAAAUCAAGUUACUGUGUGUAGUUACAUUAUGUCUGUGAAACAGAAACUUUGUGUGAUUUAGGUGAAGUAGGAAAAACUGCACUGUAACUAAUGCUUUAGAUCAUUAGCACUGACAAUGGGGGCUUAAGAAGAAAAGAGUGGGGCAAUUCUGGCUUACAGUGGGAACCAACUGUGUUUCUGACAGUCAAAAGCUCCAUCAUGUGUAAACGUCCUCUGCCUCUCCUUCCACUGGAUUUAACUCAGCUGGCAGAAGCGCCACACUGCCCACUGGAGGGCUCACAGGAAACUGAACACCUUGUUUUCUGCAUCAGCACUGCCUAAGAAUACAGGAGAGUGACUGCAUCUGGCAGUUUACUGCAUCUGGCAUCUAGGAAUUAGCAGCUUCUGCAAUGUUGGGGAAAUUGUUAAGUCACAGUUUGAAGUCACUGUUAUGGAAAACUUCUCCACCUUGCUGCAAAGGACAUUUGCUUAAAAUCCCAUUGGCUACAUGUAAGCAAAGCAAGCAACAAUUUGACCAACAGAUAUGACUGCAGUAGGCGAUUUGACGGAGAACGCAGUCUGGUGAGUGGUACACAGCCCAGCACAAACCAGACCCAGAAACAUAGAAGGUUUCAGUCAGACAAAGCAUAGAUUCAAGAACAUGAUGUAUUAAAUAAUAACUGAGCUAAUUUAUACGCUUAUCUUAAAACAUAAUGGUCAUUCAUUGGUCGAGAUGUCAAAGCUAGCAAUUAAUCAAACUUCAUAUUUUAACUUUUUAAUUCAUUUCAAGUCCUUGUCUUAUGUAGUUUGUCUUCAAAUGUUAUAGAUCAACUGUCUUAAUGUGGUCAAGGGUACUGGAGAAAAAGAUGGCCACCGUUUUUGUGCUUACCAAAGUUCAUUUUUGAAAAUCUUUUUCCCUCUUGCCGUGUUAGCAUAUUAUGUGUUUUACCAGCGUUUUGUAGCCACCUGGAUGCUACAACUCUGGGAAGUGAUGGUUCUGACUGUGGUGCAUGUUUAAUAAAGUUGCUGACUUUGUCUACUG
Long non-coding RNA from Pygocentrus nattereri (red-bellied piranha), 3529 nucleotides. RefSeq lists it as uncharacterized. The transcript is spliced from 2 exons. The record is from RefSeq and is a predicted model, not a curated record. NCBI's taxonomy places the organism in Eukaryota, Metazoa, Chordata, Actinopteri, Characiformes, Serrasalmidae.